This is a long non-coding RNA of Numida meleagris (helmeted guineafowl), 6372 nucleotides long. RefSeq lists it as uncharacterized. The transcript has 2 exons. Lineage: Eukaryota; Metazoa; Chordata; Aves; Galliformes; Numididae. The record is from RefSeq and is a predicted model, not a curated record.
GCCCGGCACCCCGGCGGCCCCGCUUCGACGCCCGGGGGCGCGGAGGGGGGACCCUGGCCCGGGCGGGAGAAGGGCGGGGCCGCCCUCGGAGCGAUGCAACAGGUGCCGCGGGCGGGCGAGCCGGCGGCACCCGGCUGGCAGAGGCGGCCGCGCGAGCCCCGCCGGGAGACCCCAGCCUCACUGCAACAUGGCGGCGAGCCGCGCCCCGCCGGCACCUGCCGCCCGCGGGCCGGGCGGUUGCCAAGCUGGAGGGCGGGAGGGGGAAGGAAGACCCUUUGCUGCUCCUGCGUGGGCACCUCGUGUGCUUGAUCGCUGGUCUCUAACAGCUGCUGUGUUUUUUGAAGCCCCAAAUCAAUUACUUCAAACAAAAGGCAGGAUGGAUUUCUGUAUUAACGCACGUUUUCAGCAUGAAAUAAGAGUUUGAAAAUCCACCUAAGUUUUGAAACUACAAAGUGACAAGGCUACUUCAGCUGGCCGUGCUCUUGCAUCAAGACCACAAAAGAUGGUGCAACCAAUCUACCAAUUCACAGACACAAAGAGAUGAAACACUGUCUGUGCCUGUGCCCCCUGCUUCUCGCCCUUCAUCCACUGCCAUGCUCCUGCAGAGUCCCCAGGCGCUUUACCUGCAAUAGCUGUGGCCUCCUGCCCGCUGGGGUGUGAGAACAGAUCGUAUUUACGUUGUCACGGGCAACGGACCAUAGGACACAGGUCUUCCGGUGCGCCGGCAAUGGCAUGCAGGUAAGAUGUGAGAUUAAGGCAACGUGCAGAUCCAAGCUGUUGUCUUCAGUAUCCUCACUUCAAGAAAAGGCAUGAGACAGGAACAGGAAGCUUCAAAACAAGGUAACAGCCAGCAGGUGUCAAAGAUACAGGGCUGUGGAGACCCUGGGGAAUGCCAAGGAAUGGUAACAAAAACACAGCCCUGCAUUUUUCUCCAGGUCCUGUAUCAGAGACGGUGCUAGGCAGUUACUGGUAGUGCUACGUUCAAGUAAAAGAAUUGCCUCUGCUUCAGGUCUGAGAGAAGGGAGGGAAGCAGAGACUGACAGAAUGGGCAGCUAUUUUCCCUUCCUGUUGUGUGAUCCUAGGAAGCAGGAGAAGGCUUUACCAUCAAAACUGAACCAUGUGUGCAGCAGCUUGCAAUAGCAGGUGAGAAGAAACAAUCAAAGCUAAAUGGCUUCUGAGGGAGAUGAAAUAAAACAUUUUUGGGAAACAGCUGCAGCCUCUGUUUUCAGAUAGGACAAUCCCACUGAGAUUAACUUUAAUCAGAUUAAUUUAACAAUGUAUGGUUUGUGAGGAGACUUCCUCUUUUAAGCAAUAAGUUUGUGGUUGGACUCAUGCCUUAUUCAGUAGGAUGGUACUGGAUGUGGACCAGACCAGAACAUCACUGUUUUAGGCAGACUGCCGAGCCCAAGAAACAAUUGUAAGGAAUACUGUAAGAACCUAGUUGUUGCAGCUUUCACUCAGAACCCUAUGUGGUGGUCUUGGGUUAUUUUUGGUGGGUACAUAGAUGCAAAAAGCAUAUAGGUAUUUUCAUUCCUUGCUGUUAAUGCCAUAUUUUUGCUUGACUGAAAAAAGAAUUUUUAUUACAAUUACCAUUGCUUCCUAACUACAAAGAGGCAGAGGCAAAAGGAAUUUAGGUGACUAAUAAUUAAAUGUGGCAACGUACAAUCUCUAGGUUCCUGUUUGCCACAGCACAUAACCCUGUGCCAUUCUCCCACAAUCACCUGCAAUAUAUGGGGAAAGAUAGAUACCUCAACGGUAUCCAUAACUACCAGCUUACUCAACACCACUCCACCCAAACCCAACCAACGAGAACAUGCUGAACCUAUACAGGCAGAACUGUCGUCUAUGGAAGGCGAGAGAACAAUUGCCAGGUUUCCAAGACCCCACUGGAUAAACACUGAGCAACUUGGUCUGAGCAUCAGGAACUUGUUUUAUUAAGGAUGAGAAACUGGGAGUAUUUUUCAUUGCUGUGAUCUUAAGGAAUGAACAGCCUCACCAGAAGACACUUUGCAAGAGCCAGAUGAAAUCUCUCAGGAGUCGCUGGGUAUCUAAUCUCCUGCCUCUUUUACUGAGAUUCCCCACCUUUCUGUUUCUAGCAACAGACAUUACAGAGAACUCUUGAAAAUGGUUCCUCAGAGGACUUUUUUCUUCAUAGACUUCCAAAACCAGAGUCUGAACGUUUAAGUUUCAGCUUGCAUUGAAGAAUAAACAGUUCUUGGAGGAGUUAACUUUGAUAAGGAAAGUGCAAAAAAGGGUGCUGAUAGCAUGUCCACCAAGCAGCUACACAGAAAACAUGUCUUGUGUUUCAUAGCCUGUUCCUUCUGAGGGGCAGUGCAAAACAGAGACCUCUGGAGCUGUUAGGUUUGGAGAAUGAUGCUCUGCUUCUAGCUAUGCCAGGAAUGGGCUUGAGAUAUUAUUCCAUCUAUAACAGAAUGGGCUAAAGGCAGAAGUUUAACAUACGGAAUUAAUUUUCUUCUGUGCAUAUUAUUCUGUGCAUUGUGAACUUCUGGAAAGUGUUCUAACUCAGGCCACUCAAGCUUCACUUGAUACAUGUCCAUAAUGACCUCGUAGGGCUUUGGUUGUUCUAAACCCAGGCUCAGUACACAAUACUAAUACUGACUCCUGGUCAGAUUGUUCUCAAGGCCAGCAAGCAUUGUAUUUACAAUGUGAGGAGCCAGCGGCUGAGUUCACAGAAUCACAGAAUCACAGAAUCACAGAAUCACAGAAUCACAGGUCACUGAACAGAGUCCUCAUUAAAAUCCUGGGCUUCAUGGUCUUACCACUGCACCUGCUGAGUAUUUCCAUGCUGCAUCUCAGAUCUGUCUUGAGCCAUUUAAAAAAGCUGAAUUGCUUCAGCCUAUUUUUACAAAGAUUGGACGAAAAAAUCAUCAGUCAUCUUUUCUGAUAUCCUGGCAGACAAAUCUCAUCCCCUCCUUGCUAUGCAGUCAGAAUUUGGCAUUCUCGCCUUGCACCACCUUCAUGGAGCUGUGUCAGGGAAGGUCAGGUUGGGUGUUAGGAAAAGGUUCUUCAGCAGAGGGUGAUGAUGGGCAUGGCACAGACCCCCCUGGGCUGUGGUCAUGGCCCCAAGCUGUCAGGGCUCAAGGAGUCUCUGGACAGCUCUCUCAGACAUAGGGUUUGAAUUUUGGGUGGUGCUGUGUGGAGCCAGGGGUUGGACUCCACGAUUCUUGUGGGUCCCUUGCAACAAGGGGUACACUGUGAUUCUGUUCUAUGGUCUUGAGGUACCUCAGAUGAGAAAUUGGUGAAGCGGUGCUGUGCAGCUCUGAUACACUGCGGUAUGAGGUGAAGCUUUUGCGCAUGGGUGGGCAAGAGGCUGGACCUCUGUGUUUUGUGGCUCUCAUGGAAACCUUCCUGUAGGAAGGUAGAAGGAAAAAAAAAAAAGUGGCAGAACCAAACUGCUGAAAACUAGAAGUUAUUAUCUGGACCAAAUCUUCCAAGAAGUUUAUAUCCCAUAUGGGCUCCAGAAAUAUCUAGGAAAUUAUUCAGAAGAUCUCAAGUGCUGGCUGCUCUGAGAACAUACCUGUGGGCACUCUUCCCAAGGAAAUCCUGUCUCAUGGCUCUUUGGAAAUUAUGGGAUACUCCUUUCUCACUGGUGUUCCACAUCUGAAGUUGGAUACACAGGCAAGAAACAGAUUGCAUGUCAUGCACUCUGUAAAAAUCCAAAUGCAAAGCAGCCACCUGAAAAAAAAAAUCCAAAUGCAAAGCAGCUACCUGAAAAAAAAAAUGCGCUCUGUGCCUUGAAAAAUGCAGGCUGCUGAGGACUCAUUGCCAAACUUGAUGCAGGGAGCUGUCUUGUUCUAUUUGUACUGCAUUACACCCGUUUAUCCUGCAGUCUCAGCAAUGUAGCCCAGUCAUUCGUCUCCCCACACUUCUGGCCACUUCCCAGGAGCAGAGCUGCCAGCAUUACCAUGACACCACUCACAUGUACAGUACUGACACCUUCUCCUCUUGGAGAGCUGGAGGGAGCACUCAGCAAACGUCCAGCUAUACAUUACAUUAUGCACUUGUAGCAAUAUUUCCAGACAGAUCUGGCUGCUGGGUGUCCUUGCAACAUGGGACAGCUCAAAGCCCUGGCUCCUUUCUGCACUGGGUUUUGGACUUAAUCUACCAGUGCACCAAUAUAUUGUGAUGUGCUGAGCUCUGUCAGGGCUGUUUAACAGAGGAGGCCAGAUAGAUAGAGGCCGGUCCUGCAAGUUCCUGUUUCCCUCCAGGGAAUGAUAUGAACUCCAAAUUUGGAAAUAAAACCCCAGGGAGACCCUCAGUAACAGCUGAAUGACUGAACCAACAUGCUUAGACCUAGGAUGGCUUCACCACUGCUGCACUCUGCUGGCCAUCAACACUGAAGACAUCGUUCCUUCAAGGCACAAAGGUUUUAUGUGUCCCGGCACAAAAACCUGGUGCUCUCUGUCACUAAAUCUCUUCCCAAGCAGAGACCGCUGAGCUGCACAGCACAUCUGCAGGCACGCAUUAAGUAAAACUCCUCCACUGUAGAACGCCUGCCAAGGGACCAAUUGAGCACACUUCCCAGUCCUCUGAUACAAUCCACAGAACAGCAGACAGCACACAGAUCAGAGGGUGCACAUACGUGCACAUGCACACCCUCACCCCAUGGUGGCUGUAGAACUGAAGUGCCGCAGGGGGACCCAGAAAGCCCAGCCAUAUUGCUGGAGAAAGCAGGGAGAGCCUACAGCGUUCUCAUGAAAUCAGGGACCAGUCUGUGACUCUAUCCUAUUCUUCAGCUCCAGCUCAAAGGACACCAGUACCGUUUAGUUUGCCAAAAUGAAAUGUUUAUGGUUGCAGGAUGUAAAGAAUUGAUUUUCUAGCCCUUUUUCAGAAGCGAGGUUUGAAAACUGUGAUUUUUUUUUAAAAAAAGAACAAAACCUUUCUGAAGUCAAGCUCCCAAGGCCCUGAACUUUCAUGAUUUUAAUGGUCUGUGUUGUUAGACAUUAUUUUUGUAGAGUUUUUCUUAUGCUUGCCAAGGCUGCCAUGAUAGGCAGUGCUCUUAUGUGCUGCACUUUUGGUUGGGUUUGGCACCACUCUUCUCUGUGUGUGCAUGCUCCCUGUGCUGGGCUGCCCAGGGUGCAGUUACCUCUCUUCCUAGCAGCUUGUGUGGUGGUGUGCUUUGCAUUUGUGGCUAACACUGUAUCGAUAACACACUGUGUUCUGACUGCUGCUGAACAGUACUCCUACAGCAUCAAGGCUUUUCUUUCUCUCUCUUCUCUUCCUUUCCCCCAGAUUAAGCAGGCUGGGCUGCACAGGAGGUUGGGAGGGGACACAGCUGACUGUAGCUGACGGAGGGGACUCUCCCUGCCAUAUAGUGCUGCACUCAGCAAUAAACUCUCAGGGCAAGAAGGAACAUUCGUGGUUACAGAGUUUGUCUUCCCAUGCAAUCAUGAUGCAUAUGUAAAGCCUGCUUCCCAGAGAGGGGCUGGACAUCUGCCUGCCGAUGAGAAGCAGUGAAUGAGUUCCACUUUUUGCUGUGCUUUGUGCACAGCGUUUGCUUUUCUUACUAAAUUGUCUUUGAAUAUCAGCAACACAAGGAACACACGUGCCCUGCACAGUUCCUGCCCCGCUCAGGUGGCACACACGGUGCCAUUAGGGACACCUGAGGGGAGCUGUCAGCAUAAGGAAUGGCAGCAGAGCCUGGGGCUCAGCAUGUACAAGACGUGGCAGAUGGAGUGCAAAAGCAAAGGGCUGGCUGGCAGCAGGCGCUUUGGGAAGGGGCCCUCACGUGAGCUCAUCUCCCGUUUUAUUGGGCUGUGCUCCAGACUGCAUUCUCACUUCUUUUUUUUUCUUACGUAUCUGCAAGUGAAAGCUUGCAUAAACGUCUAACUUCUCAGUCUUGUAUCAAUGUCAAAUUAGUGGUUUUUAUUAUCUAAAUUGGUGACUACCUGAUUUAAUUAGGCUUCACAUUACAUGACUGUAAGUCGAUGAUCCUUACGGGUGCCUUCCAACUUGAGACGUUCUGUGAUUCUAUGACUCUAUGUUGAGGCUUUGUGCAGAACAAAGCAUGCUUUGUUUUCAGCAUUAGCAGCAAAAGAAUCAUAAACUGUAAGAAAUAAGACAAGCGCGCUUCCAGUCCCGAUUUUCAUCUUCUUUCUUCAGUUGCCACCUUCUGAAAUUCUCAGGUACCUUAUAUGCUGAUGACUCUGGCCAAGACAUUUUGUGAGCUUAAAAAAAAUGCCUUCUUUUUGCAGUGAUCAGGAAAACAUUUCUGGUGUAAACAUCAAUGGACAUAAAAUAAUGGUCUGUCACUCCUCUGGAGGCCUGAAGACACGAGUUAAUCUGUCAGACUUGAGCUCAUAUCAAACAAUGAGCAAAUAUGUAUGUGCAGUAAUAAAUCACUCCUGAUCA